This 357-nucleotide long non-coding RNA is filed under the name Bos taurus (domestic cattle). RNAcentral describes it as "long non-coding RNA NONBTAT015829". The record is from RNAcentral. Lineage: Eukaryota; Metazoa; Chordata; Mammalia; Artiodactyla; Bovidae.
GAAGUGAUGUGAAUAGAGGAAUAAGAAGGAAAUAGUUUGCUUAAGACAGACCUAAGGACUCUGGUCACAAGGAAGCAAAGAUGCAGUUUUGACAUGAGAACCAUGGAUGAUUCCCAUCUUUUCCUGACUUCCUUUGUUUUCCAGAUUUUCUAUAAUGAUGUAAUUUUUUAUUACACUACAUUGUGUAAUACUUUAUAACUGACAAAGAGAAUGAGAAACUGGUUGUUGUCACAUAAGCCACGUUACUUGACUACUUAAAUAUGGCUGUGAUGAACAGCUCCAGUCUCUGGCAGAGGAAGCUAUUUUCAGAGUCACUCGUUCAUUCAACAACUGUGAGACACUGAAAGUACACUUAUG